This 577-nucleotide long non-coding RNA is filed under the name Equus caballus (horse). Its description in RNAcentral is "lncRNA (ENSECAG00000044031.1)". Lineage: Eukaryota; Metazoa; Chordata; Mammalia; Perissodactyla; Equidae. The record is from RNAcentral.
CCAGGAGGGCUCAGCCCUACCAUGAAACGGAGCCCCCGUGGGAGAUUUCACGUGUAGGGAGGAACACUGAAUGAAGUUGCACAGAAAAAUCACAGCUUCCACGUGUCUGCAAAUUGCGAGGAUAGAGAAGGAGGAUCUGUCUUCAGUUCAGAUCCUCAGCAGAAUUUCAAUUUCCCCAAAUUUGGCACAAGGUCACAGUAGCUCCCCCAGGCCACUUUCUCCUGGGACCCAGCCAAUACACCGUGAGAAGCCCUGGGAGAUGCCAUGAGGAGGAGAACUAAGGCACUCUGGUCCCGCCCCAGCUCAGCUCUCCGCUAACAGCCAACUGGCAGCCCUGUGAGUGAGCCAUGGAAGAUGCUCCAGCCCAGGUGAGCCCACAUGGAGCAGAGAACAUCCCAGCUGAACCCAGUCAAGCCACAGACUUGUGUAGGACGCCUACCACAACAUGGUGUGCCAAGCAGUGCCAUGUCCACACCCGGGAUCUGAACCGGUGAACCCCGGGCCGCCGAGAAGCAGAACAUGCGAACUUAACCGCUGUGCCACAGGGCCAGCCCCUGACCAUUUUUAAGUAUACAGU